UACGUAGGGUGCAAACGUUGUUCGGAAUCACUGGGCAUAAAGGGCGCGUAGGCGGCCUGAUAAGUAGGGGGUGAAAUCCUGCGGCUUAACCGCAGGGCUGCCUUCUAAACUGUCAGGCUAGAGCACAGUAGAGGCAGGUGGAAUUCCCGGUGUAGCGGUGGAAUGCGUAGAGAUCGGGAAGAACAUCAGUGGCGAAGGCGGCCUGCUGGGCUGUUGCUGACGCUGAGGCGCGACAGCGUGGGGAGCAAUCAGG
This 253-nucleotide ribosomal RNA is filed under the name uncultured bacterium. RNAcentral describes it as "partial 16S ribosomal RNA". It matches the Rfam family "Bacterial small subunit ribosomal RNA", at positions 524 to 776 of the family's 1533-position model. The record is from RNAcentral.